CCUACGGGUGGCAGCAGUGGGGGAUAUUGCACAAUGGGGGCAACCCUGAUGCAGCGACGCCGCGUGAGCGAUGGAGUACUUCGGUAUGUAAAGCUCUGUCAGCAGGGAAGAGAAUGACGGUACCUGACCAAGAAGCCCCGGCUAAAUACGUGCCAGCAGCCGCGGUAAUACGUAUGGGGCAAGCGUUAUCCGGAUUUACUGGGGGUAAAGGGGGCGUAGGCGGCAGGGCAAGCCUGAGGUGAAAGCCCGGGGCUCAACCCCGGGGCUGCAUUGGGAACUGCCAGGCUCGAGUGGAGGAGGGGAAGGCGGAAUCGCUGGUGUGGCGGUGAAAUGCGUAGAUAUUAGGAGGA
RNAcentral lists this ribosomal RNA (350 nucleotides) under uncultured bacterium. RNAcentral's name for it is "partial 16S ribosomal RNA". It matches the Rfam family "Bacterial small subunit ribosomal RNA", at positions 338 to 705 of the family's 1533-position model. The record is from RNAcentral.